This 1072-nucleotide long non-coding RNA is filed under the name Mus musculus (house mouse). Its description in RNAcentral is "long non-coding RNA chr7:101186531-101187603". The record is from RNAcentral. Lineage: Eukaryota; Metazoa; Chordata; Mammalia; Rodentia; Muridae.
GGUAUUGUUUCUAUUUUCUUUCUUCUGUUAUAUGUAUUUUAAUAUUUAUAAUCAGUAAGAUUAUGCUAAAUUACAUUUAAAAUUUAGGACUUUUAAACAUUCACAAAUGUUCCUGGGUAGCAUUUUACCAGGAUUUUUCAACAUGUGCCUUUUUUGUUUGUUUUAUUUUAUCUUUUUGAGACAGGGUUUCUCGAUUUAGCUCUGGCCGUUUUGGAAAUUGCUCUUAUAGACCAGGGCCUCACAAUCACAGAAGUCUGCCUGCCUCUGCCUACUGAGCGCUGGGACUAAAGGUGUGCGCCACCACUGCCCAGAUCCACGUGCUUUUUAACUGAAAUGUUUUGUUAGCUGAUAAAGUUGAAUAUAAUCUAAAUUUGUAGAAAUUUAGAAUGCUCAAUAAAUACUUCUUGGGAAUAAGGCUUAUGCCAGGCACCACUUAUGCUGGGGUUGGUGGUGCACACUUUAAAUUCCAGCACUUUGGAAAGAGACUGAACAGAUCAUUGUGAGUUCAAGGCCAACCUGGUCUAUGUAGCAAGUUCUAGGCCAGAUAGGCUUAUAGAGUAAGAACAUUUAAAUAGCUCAAGUAAAUAUAGAUACAUAGUUUUACAGUAUGAUUUGAUGUGUGUUAAAGUAUUUACAUUUUUAUCCCAUUAAGUCUUGAAAAAGUUUCAUUAAUUAGUCUUAAUUUCAAGUUGGGCCAUUUUGGGAAACUCAAAAGAAAUUGACACAUUUUGCCUAAUAUACUAGUAACUUUAAUUUUUGGAAGUUAGUAUACCCAGAAUGGUGGUACACACCUUUAAACCCAGCAUUUGAGAUACAUAGGCACAUGGAUCUUUACCAGUUUCAGACCAGCCUGGUAUACAUAGUGAGUUCCAGGCCAGCCAGAGCUACAUAAGAUUCUAUCUCACAUGUUGCCUCUAAAAAAGACCAGUGACUAGUCUAAGAGUAGCUGGAUAUUGUGAUACAUACUUACUAUUCAGGAGGCCAAAGCAGGGACAUUGCAAAUUUGAGGCCUGUCUAAAUUACAAAGCCAAAUUGAAGACUGAGCUAUCAAAUAUGAAAAAUACUCUGUUUC